Syngnathus acus (greater pipefish) is the source of this 2507-nucleotide long non-coding RNA. RefSeq lists it as uncharacterized. Lineage: Eukaryota; Metazoa; Chordata; Actinopteri; Syngnathiformes; Syngnathidae. The record is from RefSeq and is a predicted model, not a curated record. The transcript has 2 exons.
UCUCUACAGAAAAUAACUUGGGUAGACUGCCCCUUUUUAAACAGGAUCACUCUGCCUUUUAACUGAUGGUUGCUUGUCUACAACUGUAGACAAUUGUUAAUCCUGGUACCAUUAUUUUUAAAGAAAAAAUCCAUUUUAUUUUAAAUGAAAGUGAAAUGAAAAGCCUAAAGACAUUAUUUCAUUUUUCUUUGGAACUUUGUUACGUUAUAAUGAAAGCUAAAAUAUGCUCGGAGUUGUCAGGCUCAAAUAGGCUGAAUUAAAAUGAAACGCAAAAGAGAUUGCCAAUAGACAAUUUCUGUCUAACAAGCUGGCUAUGGUCCAUUUAGGGCACAGUAUGUUCGAUCGUCUCAUUUAUUACAGCCUGUCAUUUGGUGAGAAUGGAAACUUGGAUUUGCCUUUUGCUGCUUGUCAGUGCAGUUAUUGAAAAUCACCUUCAAUUUGCACCAGAUUGCGAGGUCCAAGACACUUUGUUCUGUCAGAUGUGGUGCCCACGCCCCGAUCCAUUUGAGAUGAUGCGAUGAAAAAUGGACUGAAUAAGGCAGUAUAUCGGAAAAAGGUAUUACAACACCCUCAUCAAAUAAGGACUGCUCUUUUUUCUUAUCUGAUUCCAGGUAUAGACACAGAAAAGUUUGCUCUCCAAAAGUGCUUUAUACUGAGUUCAAAAGGCUUUGAUAUUUUUUCUUAUACAGCCCGAAUGAUUUAUUUGUUCUGUCUGCACUACCCAUGAAAUAUCUAAUAUCAGCGAGAGUCACGCAUCUGUUUUGCGACUAAGGUCACGUUCCUCUUUUGUCUCGAUCCAUGUCAAAUCACAAUGCACGCUUUAGAAAUUGCCCAUAUGGAAAUAUAUCAUCGUGACCGCGACACGCUGAGAAUUCGUCUUUAGUCUUUAUUUUGUUUUCACAGCCUAUACGUGAGUGAAAAUGAUCAAAGCGAACCUAUUUCAUUUAGACACAUGAAAUAAGAAUGGAAAUAUCACUUCUUCAACCUGCUUUGCCAUGCCUUAGCAGUCUCCAGGGCUGGAUUUGUGUAGCUGACCCCCGCCCUGAGAAAAAAAGGAUAAAAAAGAAAGCAUAACAAGAAAUUUGACACAGUUUUGAUGCACAGUGUUUGUUUUCUUCAUCGCGGCUAUCAUAAGACCCUUGAGAGUUUCUCCAAAAAGUUUUGUCCUGAGCCUCCUACUUAAAUUUGUUAGUAUACUCCAGUGUCAGGAUAACCGAUUUGCCAACAAAGCAAAAGGAAGAAAAAGAAAAGCUCCGCUGCAGGCUCGAGCAAAGCUUCAAUCAACAUCCUGGGAGCUAGUUGACAUGCAGGGUGUAGAGGUCCUUGCAAAGUUAUUGAACUUUUCUCUCCAACCAUUUUCCCUUUUCACCAGCAGCCUUUUAUAUUACACGGCUAACUUCAUUCUUUCCUUACCUGCCCUUUCUCUUUUCAAUACACGGAGCUCAAGUUUGAAAGACCCACUGUCCUUAAAUUGGGUUUUGCUGGUGUGCAUGGCUAACGAACCCGAGCCGCUAUACAGUCGGAGCAACAUGACUGGGAUUCAGUUAUAUCCACCGCCGAAAGGCUGAAUGAUGAUAAGUUCAUUGCUGUGCCUCCUGUGUGCUCCAGAUAAACCCCCCUACUUGUCAGGGGCUCGUCACAGCAAAUACGACAUCGGCAACACGGGCAUAAGCUUGUUACGCUGGACAGGAAUAGCCCAUCCGCCGAGCCACUCCCAUUUCCCAGAGUAUUAUCAUUUACCAGCCUGAUUACGAAAGCUGCAGUUAACAUACUUGUUUUACACACUGGUUUUAUGCACCUGUGUGAAACUUAUUUCCCACUUUAAAAAGUUUAUACACUAUAAGCAGAAACUUGGCAGAUAGAAUUCUGCGGUUGCUGGAAAAGUAGAUGGCAAAUCCUUCCCUUUUUAAACUUCUAAUGCUGAAGUAUUUCAUUUAAACUACUAUUGGUGAUUGUAGCCUUCUAAAGUAUUGAUGCUGGUACUUGAAGUACCCCCAAUAUACUAGCAAUUCAUGAUUAUGCCUUUCUUUUGUACGCUAGGAGACAAAUUCAUGACAUUAACAAGAGCAUAGCAAGAGUGUGCAUUUGAUGUUUGUUUACUGUCGUGAAUAUGGCUUUAAGAUUGCGUAUCUUUUUUUUUUUAAUUUGUUGAAGUUCUCCAUACUGUCUACAAAUGGCUGGUAAUAUGUUGUCGACAUUGAAGUUACUGGCAUUGUCUAAGAUGCAAGUUGGAUUUUAUGAUCUCAAUACUGUAUUCCCUUUUAUUGUGAAAUAGCUGUCACUCAGCGAGUAUAAAGCAAUAGUCCUGUGGAAGUUUAUUUUUUUAUUAUUCUCAUCUUCCCUCAGCCAAGUCAGUGAAUAAUUCUGCUGAUGUUGUUUAUGCCCUGUUGGAUGUUAUAGCAGUCAAUGUGAAAGGGGCUGUUGUUCACUUGCUGCUUUUUUGCCAAUGUGUGCCUCCUGGCUUGUUUUCCUCACUUUCAUCAAUUCUGGCAGUGUGGAAAAAAAAA